Molecule: ribosomal RNA, 1436 nt
Filed under: metagenome
Description: bacterial LSU rRNA
Rfam family: Bacterial large subunit ribosomal RNA
Source: RNAcentral
CUGUGGGGACGCAGAAGGAGAGCACGAGCCGGAAAUGGAAAAGCCGGUACAAGCGUAUAGCAGUCAUGCAGGCAAAACCGCAUGAAAAAUGUAAAGCGUUAUGUGGAUCGAACAUUAGUAGAGAAGCGUGUGAGCCAGCUGCCAAGAAAAGCCGCUAUUGUUUCAUAAGUACCCGUACCGUAAACCGACACAGGUGGAUGAGGAGAGAAUCCUAAGGCCGGCGGGAGAAGUGUUGUUAAGGAACUCGGCAAAAUGACUCCGUAACUUCGGGAGAAGGAGUGCCACAGAGAUGUGGCCGCAGAGAAAUGGCCCAAGCAACUGUUUAGCAAAAACACAGGUCUAUGCAAAACCGAAAGGUGAGGUAUAUGGGCUGACGCCUGCCCGGUGCUGGAAGGUUAAGAGGAGAGGUUAGAGCAAUCGAAGCUUUGAAUUUAAGCCCCAGUAAACGGCGGCCGUAACUAUAACGGUCCUAAGGUAGCGAAAUUCCUUGUCGGGUAAGUUCCGACCCGCACGAAAGGCGUAAUGAUUUGGGCACUGUCUCAACAACACACCCGGUGAAAUUGAAAUACCAGUGAAGAUGCUGGUUACCUGCGCCAGGACGGAAAGACCCCAUGGAGCUUUACUCCAGUUUGAUACUGGGAUUCGGUACUGUCUGUACAGGAUAGGUGGGAGGCUAGGAAAUGGUGACGCCAGUUGCCAUGGAGCCAACCUUGGGAUACCACCCUUACAGUACUGGGUUUCUAACCUGCAGCCGUAACCCGGCUGGGGGACAAUGUCUGACGGGGAGUUUGACUGGGGCGGUCGCCUCCGAAAGAGUAUCGGAGGCGCUCAAAGGUUCCCUCAGAACGGUUGGAAACCGUUCGAAGAGUGCAAAGCAGAAGGGAGCUUGACUGCGACACCGACGGGUGGAGCAGAUACGAAAGUAGGACUUAGUGAUCCGGUGGUAUAAAGUGGGAUUGCCGUCGCUCAACGGAUAAAAGCUACCCUGGGAUAACAGGCUUAUCACUCCCAAGAGUUCACAUCGACGGAGUGGUUUGGCACCUCGAUGUCGGCUCAUCGCAUCCUGGAGCUGUAGCAGGUUCCAAGGGUUGGGCUGUUCGCCCAUUAAAGCGGUACGCGAGCUGGGUUCAGAACGUCGUGAGACAGUUCGGUCCCUAUCCGGCGUGGGCGUAGGAUAUUUGAGAGGAGCUGUCCUUAGUACGAGAGGACCGGGAUGGACAAACCUCUGGUGUAUCUGUUGUUUUACCAAAGGCAUGGCAGAGUAGCCAAGUUUGGCAGGGAUAAACGCUGAAGGCAUCUAAGCGUGAAGCCCCCCUCAAGAUAAGAUAUCCCAUCUUCGGAGUAAGACCCCUUGAAGACUACAAGGUUGAUAGGCUUCAGGUGUAAGUGUGGUAACGCACUCAGCUGAGAAGUACUAAUAGGUCGAGGACUUAUCU